This 241-nucleotide ribosomal RNA is filed under the name uncultured bacterium. RNAcentral describes it as "partial 16S ribosomal RNA". It matches the Rfam family "Bacterial small subunit ribosomal RNA", at positions 15 to 244 of the family's 1533-position model. The record is from RNAcentral.
GAUCCUGGCUCAGGAUGAACGCUAGCGGCAGGCUUAACACAUGCAAGUCGAGGGGCAGCAUAANGGAUAGCAAUAUCUAUGGUGGCGACCGGCGCACGGGUGCGUAACGCGUAUGCAACCUACCCUUUAACAGGGGGGAUAACACCUGAGAAAAUUGGUACUAAUACCCCCAUAAUAUUCAUAGAAGGCAUCUUUUAUGGUUGAAAAUCCGAUGGUUAGAGAUGGGCAUGCGUUGUAUUAG